RNAcentral lists this ribosomal RNA (467 nucleotides) under uncultured bacterium. Its description in RNAcentral is "partial 16S ribosomal RNA". It matches the Rfam family "Bacterial small subunit ribosomal RNA", at positions 28 to 507 of the family's 1533-position model. The record is from RNAcentral.
GACGAACGCUGGCGGCGUGCUUAACACAUGCAAGUCGAACGGAAAGGCCCUGCUUUUGUGGGGUGCUCGAGUGGCGAACGGGUGAGUAACACGUGAGUAACCUGCCCUUGACUUUGGGAUAACUUCAGGAAACUGGGGCUAAUACCGGAUAGGAGCUCCUGCUGCAUGGUGGGGGUUGGAAAGUUUCGGCGGUUGGGGAUGGACUCGCGGCUUAUCAGCUUGUUGGUGGGGUAGUGGCUUACCAAGGAUUUGACGGGUAGCCGGCCUGAGAGGGUGACCGGCCACAUUGGGACUGGGGUACGGCCCGGACUCCUACGGGAGGAAGCGGUGGGGAAUAUUGCACAAUGGGCGGAGGCCUGAUGCAGCACCGCCGCGUGCGGAAUGACGGCCUUCGGGUUGUAAACCGCUUUCGCCGGUAACGAGGCUUAGGGGCGUGUAUGGGUAAAGAAGCACCGGCUAACUACGUG